This 636-nucleotide ribosomal RNA is filed under the name uncultured bacterium. RNAcentral describes it as "bacterial SSU rRNA". It matches the Rfam family "Bacterial small subunit ribosomal RNA", at positions 202 to 839 of the family's 1533-position model. The record is from RNAcentral.
AAAGAUCCGUCGGAUGGGGAUAGGCUCGCGUGACAUUAGCUAGACGGCGGGGUAACGGCCCACCGUGGCGACGAUGUCUAGGGGUUCUGAGAGGAAGGUCCCCCACACUGGAACUGAGACACGGUCCAGACUCCUACGGGAGGCAGCAGUGAGGAAUAUUGGUCAAUGGCCGGAAGGCUGAACCAGCCAUGCCGCGUGAAGGUCAGUGCCCUAUGGGCGUUAAACUUCUUUUGUGCGGGAGCAAUAAUGGUCACGUGUGGCCAGACGAGAGUACCGUACGAAUAAGCAUCGGCUAACUCCGUGCCAGCAGCCGCGGUAAUACGGGGGAUGCAAGCGUUAUCCGGAUUUAUUGGGUUUAAAGGGUGCGUAGGCUGUGAGGUAAGUCAGCGGUGAAAUGCCCCCGCUCAACGGGGUGAAGUGCCAUUGAUACUGCCUUGCUGGAAUGCGGAUGCCGUGGGAGGAAUGUGUGGUGUAGCGGUGAAAUGCAUAGAUAUCACACAGAACACCGAUUGCGAAGGCAUCUCACGAAUCCGCGAUUGACGCUGAUGCACGAAAGCGUGGGUAUCAAACAGGAUUAGAUACCCUGGUAGUCCACGCUGUAAACGAUGAUGACUAACCGUCGGCGAUACACAGUCG